RNAcentral lists this ribosomal RNA (253 nucleotides) under uncultured bacterium. RNAcentral's name for it is "partial 16S ribosomal RNA". It matches the Rfam family "Bacterial small subunit ribosomal RNA", at positions 524 to 776 of the family's 1533-position model. The record is from RNAcentral.
UACAGAGGGUGCGAGCGUUAAUCGGAAUUACUGGGCGUAAAGCGCGCGUAGACGGUUUUGUACGUCAGAUGUGAAAUCCCUGGGCUCAACCUGGGAACUGCAUUUGAGACUGCAUGGCUAGAGUAUCGAAGAGGGAAGUGGAAUUUCCGGUGUAGCGGUGAAAUGCGUAGAUAUCGGAAGGAACACCAGUGGCGAAAGCGACUUCCUGGGCGAAUACUGACGUUCAUGUGCGAAAGCGUGGGGAGCAAACAGG